RNAcentral lists this non-coding RNA (29 nucleotides) under Rattus norvegicus (Norway rat). The record is from RNAcentral. Lineage: Eukaryota; Metazoa; Chordata; Mammalia; Rodentia; Muridae.
UAGGUUACCCUGUUUGUGAAUGUGAUGUC